This 434-nucleotide ribosomal RNA is filed under the name uncultured Lachnospiraceae bacterium. RNAcentral describes it as "partial 16S ribosomal RNA". It matches the Rfam family "Bacterial small subunit ribosomal RNA", at positions 341 to 792 of the family's 1533-position model. Lineage: Bacteria; Bacillati; Bacillota; Clostridia; Lachnospirales; Lachnospiraceae. The record is from RNAcentral.
ACGGAAGGCAGCAGUGGGGAAUAUUGGACAAUGGGGGAAACCCUGAUCCAGCGACGCCGCGUGAGUGAAGAAGUAUUUCGGUAUGUAAAGCUCUAUCAGCAAGGAAGAAAAUGACGGUACUUGACUAAGAAGCUCCGGCUAAAUACGUGCCAGCAGCCGCGGUAAUACGUAUGGAGCAAGCGUUAUCCGGAUUUACUGGGUGUAAAGGGAGCGUAGACGGUAAAGCAAGUCUGAAGUGAAAUCCCGGGGCUCAACCCCGGAACUGCUUUGGAAACUGUUUAACUAGAGUGCAGGAGAGGUAAGCGGAAUUCCUAGUGUAGCGGUGAAAUGCGUAGAUAUUAGGAGGAACACCAGUGGCGAAGGCGGCUUACUGGACUGUAACUGACGUUGAGGCUCGAAAGCGUGGGGAGCAAACAGUAUUAGAUACCCUGGUA